RNAcentral lists this ribosomal RNA (172 nucleotides) under Staphylococcus pseudintermedius. Its description in RNAcentral is "partial 16S ribosomal RNA". It matches the Rfam family "Bacterial small subunit ribosomal RNA", at positions 1 to 167 of the family's 1533-position model. The record is from RNAcentral. Lineage: Bacteria; Bacillati; Bacillota; Bacilli; Caryophanales; Staphylococcaceae.
UUUAUGGAGAGUUUGAUCCUGGCUCAGGAUGAACGCUGGCGGCGUGCCUAAUACAUGCAAGUCGAGCGAACAGAUAAGGAGCUUGCUCCUUUGACGUUAGCGGCGGACGGGUGAGUAACACGUGGGUAACCUACCUAUAAGACUGGAAUAACUCCGGGAAACCGGGGCUAAU